UACACGACCGUACCGCAAACCGACACUGGUGCGCGAGAUGAGUAUUCUAAGGCGCUUGAGAGAACUCAGGAGAAGGAACUCGGCAAAUUGACACCGUAACUUCGGAAGAAGGUGUGCCUUUAGUAGGUGAACCAUUUACUUGGGGAGCCCAAUGAGGCUGCAAAAAAUCGGUGGCUGCAACUGUUUAUUAAAAACACAGCACUCUGCUAAGACGAAAGUCGACGUAUAGGGUGUGACGCCUGCCCGGUGCUGGAAGAUUAAAUGAUGGGGUGCAAGCUCUUGAUUGAAGUCCCAGUAAACGGCGGCCGUAACUAUAACGGUCCUAAGGUAGCGAAAUUCCUUGUCGGGUAAGUUCCGACCUGCACGAAUGGCGUAAUGAUGGCCACACUGUCUCCUCCUGAGACUCAGCGAAGUUGAAAUGUUUGUGAUGAUGCAAUCUCCCCGCGGAAAGACGGAAAGACCCCAUGAACCUUUACUGUAGCUUUGUAUUGGACUUUGAACAGAUCUGUGUAGGAUAGGUGGGAGGCUUUGAAGUGUGGUCGCUAGAUCGCAUGGAGCCAACGUUGAAAUACCACCCUGGUGUGUUUGAGGUUCUAACCUAGGUCCAUUAUCUGGAUCGGGGACAGUGCAUGGUAGGCAGUUUGACUGGGGCGGUCUCCUCCCAAAGUGUAACGGAGGAGUUCGAAGGUACGCUAGGUACGGUCGGACAUCGUGCUAAUAGUGCAAUGGCAUAAGCGUGCUUAACUGCGAGACUGACAAGUCGAGCAGAUGCGAAAGCAGGACAUAGUGAUCCGGUGGUUCUGUAUGGAAGGGCCAUCGCUCAACGGAUAAAAGGUACUCUGGGGAUAACAGGCUGAUACCGCCCAAGAGUUCAUAUCGACGGCGGUGUUUGGCACCUCGAUGUCGGCUCAUCUCAUCCUGGGGCUGUAGCCGGUCCCAAGGGUAUGGCUGUUCGCCAUUUAAAGAGGUACGUGAGCUGGGUUUAAAACGUCGUGAGACAGUUUGGUCCCUAUCUUCCGUGGGCGCUGCAGAUUUGAGGAAGCCUGCUCCUAGUACGAGAGGACCGGAGUGGACGAACCUCUGGUGUAUCGGUUGCCACGCCAGUGGCAUUGCCGAGUAGCUAAGUUCGGAAGAGAUAACCGCUGAAAGCAUCUAAGCGGGAAACUCGUUUCAAGAUUAGAUCUGCCGGGGCCUUGAGCCCCCUAAAGAGUCGUUCAAGACCAGGACGUUGAUAGGUCAGGUGUGGAAGCCA
RNAcentral lists this ribosomal RNA (1252 nucleotides) under metagenome. RNAcentral's name for it is "bacterial LSU rRNA". It matches the Rfam family "Bacterial large subunit ribosomal RNA", at positions 1635 to 2876 of the family's 2925-position model. The record is from RNAcentral.